CAGGUAACGUUAUACACACAUAUAUUUACUCUCGGGUAUUUAUACUGCUGUGUAUAUAUAAAAUAUGCUAGUCCUUUCAUGAUUAUGUGAUAGGUGGUGCAUGGCCGUUCUUAGUUCGUGGAGUGAUCUGUCUGCUUAAUUGCGUUUCACUAAGGAUCUAUAUUCAUAUUACGCAUAGCAUUUUGACCCCUUUAUGCUUCGGUAUAAAGCUGCGCGUCAAACCUUGCUAUCUGCGUAUAUUAGAUCCUGAAAGCAACGAACGUGACCGCAACCUCUUGUUGCCUUUAACUAGGUUUUGCUUACGUAUAGCUUCGGCUUUACGCUUUGCAUCUAAAAAGGCUGAUUUUCUA
RNAcentral lists this ribosomal RNA (350 nucleotides) under Nonionella sp. T1. RNAcentral describes it as "SSU rRNA". The record is from RNAcentral. Lineage: Eukaryota; Foraminifera; Rotaliida; Nonionidae.